GGACUUUCCCUUAUUUGCCCAGGACAGAAUGUUUCCUGAACAAACCGAAAGCAGGUGUGCCGCUGUUUACAGCUUUACAGGAAGAGACAGGCUCAGAACAGAUAUCGCAAUUUGAAUCUGGGAAUACAGGAAAAGCGAUGGAAUCAUUUCCAGACUGCUGUCCACAUCGUAGUAUGCCUGUAGAGACUGAUGAGUCUAUGACAUUGUCCUCUCUCAAUCUGGUCUGGCCUGUGUGCCAGCAGUGCCAAACACACACCCUUAAAGACAGAAGAAAAAAUGAUAUAUUCAGCCAAAAGAUGUGUGUUCCUGAUGUAAGUAGAUUGGAUUACCUAGAGGGUUGCCAUGGGUAUACUCCUAAAGAUUUAAGGGGCAGUCACCUCACCAAACUUUCCAUAAGUGAUUCCCAACACAGAGAGAGCCCUGUUGGCUUGCCCAGUCUCUACUUGCCUCAGAGUUCAGGAAGACACCUUCAGAGAGACUGUAGAGCCCACAUUGAAGAUCUGAGCGAAGGUAUUUCAGGCAUCAGACUUGAAAAUUGCUGCAUUUCCCCUGACAUAUAUCCACAGAACCCUGUGAGUGAGGAUGAGGAGAGUCUAGAAAGGCCUAGUCCUCUUCGCUCUGACCUGGGAGAGAAUUCCUGCAGAUAUUCUCCAGCAAAACAGCCAGGAUUUUACGGUAUGGUUAUUAUUAGUAUGAUUAAAAGGGUUGUGAUAUGAGGAUACAAAGUUUAUUUGAUCUUUUGAAAUAAAAAUAGCAGUUACGUUUUAGACCUCAAAAUUUCUCCCUAGCUCCAUAAAUAGCAGAAGAAACCAUGAAGCUAUUAUUAUUAUUAUUAUUUUAUUUUUUUGUCACACUGUGGUAUACACCUCUACAUCAACACAUUAAUGCCUAGUUUACCUUACCCACUUCCGUAGCCCUUCUGCAAGUUGUCUGUGUUGUUACAUUGACAGUCCCACUUAAAUUACAAUAUCCCCCCCAUUUCAUUAGAAAUAAAUCUCAGCAUAUAUUAGGCCUAGAUUAAAUAAUAUAUGUACUGUGCUGAAUAGAUUUCCGUAUUAAAAUAUGCAUUAAACUGAACUGAAAGUACUAAAAUCUUAAUGGUAACUGGAGGUGUAAUACAUGCAGGGGUCUGUUCUGAUUCAAACUGAUUGCAUUAGUAUUAGCCUGUAUAACCUAUGCAACACAUACAUGUAGUGGGGUAUUCUGCAUAAUCGAUUGCACAAUGUUGACUUUCAUCAGUGGUUGGCAUACAGUACAUGCAACCAGUGAGAAUGCAUUUCUGUCAGUGCUCAUCCACACAGCAACACAACAAGUUUCUUUUGAUAAGUCAUUAGUGAUGUACCAAAACUUGGCAGAAAUCAGAAACAUUACUUUUAAGACAUCUGAUAUCAUAAAUUUUGACAUGGGUGAAGUUGCAUGUGCUGUAUGCACAGAAAAAAAUAAACCAGGUGUAAUCUGAGUCAAUGAUGUUAUGGAGCUUGUGUUAAUGAGACACACUGAGUGUAAACCACACAAACAUAAUAAAUAAAUUCUGAGCUAUAUUCGUCCUCAAUAAUGUCUGUUUUGGAGUCUUGAAUUAUGGCUGUGACACACCAAGCCAUCAGUAAGAAUCUGUUAGCAUAGUUUUUGCAGUGUGUUUUUCGACAUCAGCACUAGUUGAUUCUUGUCAGUUGGGUGACUAAACAUGUUGUAUUCUAAAACUUAAGCCUGCAUUACGACGGUCGCUGUGAUUUUGCCAAGAUGUUUUGUUGGUCCUGGAUCAACAUUACUGUUCAAGAAUACAGACACAAUCCCUACCCCAAAACCUAACCCUACCCAUAAUUUAUUUCUAAAAUCAGUGUGAAAUGAUAGCUGAUUAACAAGGGUGUAGAAGCACCUUACCUCGAUCAUAAGCCUAAAACAGAUAUUUUCUGUAAAGUUAUCCCUAAAUUCUGAUUGGUUGAUUGUGUGGUGUUUUCACACUUUAAAAGAACAUACUCCACACAAUGUACAACUCACAUUCUCAACUUUAUUCUUCUUCAUCCCAUUACUAAACAAAAUUCCUCACUAGAGCCCCUAGUGGUGCAGUUCCACAUUAAUGUUUUAUAUUUAGCAAUUAUCAAAUAUUGUAUGCUUCUCAACACAGCAUUUCCCCCGUUACUCAAACAGAAUUACUACUCUUUUAUAAUUGUUACCUUAUUCAAGUCUUUACUCAAACAUCAACUUAUCUCAAAUAAGCAUACUCAAAUGACCUCUUAUGCAUUCAAGCAACAGUUUAUUUCAGUGGAGCAUAAUGAAAGAUUCUAGCACACUUUUUUUCCUUUUAACAUUACACAGAAUAACAUUCAUCAAACAUUUCAGGAUUCAGUGUAUAUUCACAUUAUUAUUAUUAUUUAAAUAGGGCAGUGAUCUGCCUACACCCUUUACAUAUCUUCUUGGUCUGACUUAUUUCUUUCUCUUCAGACAAAUUACUCCAACACAUAGUCUUUAGACCACAAAGGUGGGCAUCUCUAUCAAGCCCCUAUCUGAAGUCAACUCUAAAUUCCAUCUUUUCCCAUCACUUAAGAUGAAAAAUUUGGACCUGUUUGUUGUUUUACUGCCAACGGAUCAGUAAAAUGGGCUUCUCCUUUUUUCACAUGAAAAGGCUCUGUCACUCUCACCUUAUUUCCAACCACAACAUUGAGAAAUGUAGAUCCUCUUUUACGAUCUGUGUAUUGUUUUCUUUUGUUUAAUUGUGUCACACGAGCUCUGACCUGAGCAAAUUAAUCAGGGGUAUCCACAGGCAGAAGAACAUUCAAAUUUGUUCUCAUAGGUCGGCCUCUCAAGACCAGAAAAGAGGGCUCACCCAUUGCAGCAUGGGGUGUUGUUAGCUCUUCAGCAUGGUCAGGACUGCAGAUUUCCAGGGCUAAUGCACCACUUCAGCUGCUUGAAGACACUCUUUAAGCACCCUGUUGAACCAUUUGAUGGCCCCAUUUUCCUGAGUGUGAUAAACACAGGCCUUUAUGUGCUAUAUUCCCUGUGUUUUCACGAAAUCAGCAAAUGCAGACGAAGUGAACUACAUGCAGUGUUGGGCAAGCUACUUGGAAAAUGUAGUGAGCUAAGCUACCAGUUACUCUACAGUAAAUGAAGCUUCACUACACUGAAGCUACCCCCCUGCGAAAUGUAGCAAGCUAAGCUACAUCACCAGUAGCUUGCUACAUCUAAGCUACUUUUAAAAUUAAAUUUUAAUGUUGAACAUGUUUUAUUACAAGUCAAUGCUAUUUCAGUACUUAAAACUGUCAGUCAAACAGAUAGGCAGGUGUAAUUUUUUAGUUUAAUAGUUUUUUGUGUUCCUUAUCAAUUUGGCUACAAAAACAAUCAAAAUACAUGUAAUUAACAAUGUGCGCACAAGUAAGUGUAUGCACCUGUUGCAUGGGCAUGCUUAAUAUACUGUAGGCCUUUGCAGAACAAAAUGCAAGACCUCCAAACAAUUUCAGGCUGGCCCUUAUGAAACAAAAAUAUAUUGCAGUAUAUUGGAAAAUAUCAUGCAAUAUAUUAGGCAUAUAUUCUUAUAUAUAUAUUUAUUUUUUCCAAUAUAUUUCAAUAUAUUGAAAGCGGCAAACAUUUGUAUAUUUUGCAAUAUAAUAUAUAAUAUAUGUGUCAUCAAUAUAUUAUUAAAUGUAUUCAAAUGUAUAAAAUAUUAGAAAUAAAAAGGGAAAAUAAUAUAUUACAAUAUAUCACAAUAUAUUUAAAGAAAUAUAUUGGUAAACAUAUUUUUUUCUUUCGUAAGAGGGACCCUGAUAAUUUUUACAAGCAGCAUCUGAAAACAUAUUUUCUCUCUGUUAUCUCGGUCAGUGUCAUGUACUUGUCGAGGUACGGCCACGGCGACUCACUCCUCGGCAUUAACUGUUCUCCGACCUCAUCCUGUGCCAUCAUUUCAUCAAAUAAUUUUUUGCCUGACUGGCUAAGGACUGGUACCAUCCGGAGCAGAAGGUGGCGGUAAUGCAUCAUAAAGAUGGUUGGUUGCUAUUUACCCUAAACACAAACAAGACGUCGCGUCACUACUGAUCCAGGAUCAGCGAUCUUAGCAGUUGUAUUUCCCGAUUUGAGUUUGAGCUUCAGAAAUGCUUGCGGAAAUGUAGCUUGUGUGGAAGCUACCGCACUACUUGGUAGAAAAAAGAGCUUCGCUACUGAAAAGCUGUUUGAUUCAGAAAGCAGCGAAGCUACGACCAAGCUACUGAGAAAUUUAGUUAAACUAUUAGCUUCGCUGCUUUUAGCGACGCUACUGCCCAACACUGACUACAUGAUUGUCUGUUGAGAUGGUGCAGGGGUUUCCUUAAUUUGCAAAGAUAGUGGUCAGAAAUUUCAAAACAAUCGCUGCUGUUACUGAUGAAGCAAAACCAACUUCUAGCCAUUUGCUGAAAUAGUCAAUCAGUGUUAUUGCAAACUUACAAUCAGUAGCUCCCUUUUUGAAAGGUCCAACUAUAUCAAUAGCAACAUGUUGAAAUGGGCCUUUUGGCAGUGGUGGACAGUACUGUACUUAAGUACAUUUUUCAAGUAUCUGUACUUUACUGGAGUAGUUUAUUUUGAGUAACUUUUACUUUUACUUCACUACAUUCCAAAGUAUAAGAUCAUACUUUUAACUUCACUAUAUUUCAUAAAACAUAUCGUUACUCCCUAUAAUAUAUCACGUGCUCCGACACGCAGAAGCGGUGUCUGAUUCAUCAUGAACAAACUGAGUCUUUUCAAAAUAAACUUUUAAAUCGGAUCGCAAAUCGCACCAAACUAUUAGUUUCCGAAUUAGAAUUAUCUGAUUGCAGCUGUUCUGGAGUCGACCACUCACUGAUUCAAAUGAACCAUUUAGUGCGAGUCAGUAAGAACCGGGAGAUCUUGUGAGCGUGCGUGCGUCUGAUGUUGCUAAAAGUAAGUUAUUAAUGUCGAAAUUUAGGAUUAAUUAUUGUGACUGAAAAUCAUAUUUAGGUCAAAAUUGUCAGUUGUUUGGGAACUAAAUCCGCUGUAAAGAGUGAUCUGUUUAAGCCCACUGAAAUGCUCGAGUGCAGACGAUGCAGACACAUCAAUCAGUGUCUCUGUGUUUUAGGUAAAAAAAAAACAACAACAAAAAAAACAUUCAACUAACACAGAUUAAAUAAAAUAACUUGUGCAUGUUCAAAUUCCCCGCUGCCAUAAUAUUAACAGUUUUAUUAAAAUAGUACCAUGUAGUACCAAUAGUACCGUCUGUUUUUAUAUUGUUUAUCAACAGUAACGUUAUAUUGUUUGGAUUAACUAGACGAGCAGAUAGACAUGAAUGUUUAUUCAUAACCGUACUGAAAAUAAGUAAAUAUUGUUAGCUGAUGCUAACUAUCUAGCUAACAAGCUUGCUGGUGCUAACUUGAGGAAAUUAUUAUAAAUAAUGUCCAAAUAUUUUUGUUCAACAACACACAAAUAUAUAUAUAUAUAUAUAUAU
Carassius gibelio (silver crucian carp) is the source of this 5422-nucleotide long non-coding RNA. RefSeq lists it as uncharacterized. The transcript is spliced from 3 exons. The record is from RefSeq and is a predicted model, not a curated record. NCBI's taxonomy places the organism in Eukaryota, Metazoa, Chordata, Actinopteri, Cypriniformes, Cyprinidae.